Molecule: ribosomal RNA, 2903 nt
Filed under: Escherichia coli
Lineage: Bacteria; Pseudomonadati; Pseudomonadota; Gammaproteobacteria; Enterobacterales; Enterobacteriaceae
Description: bacterial LSU rRNA
Rfam family: Bacterial large subunit ribosomal RNA
Source: RNAcentral
UUAAGCGACUAAGCGUACACGGUGGAUGCCCUGGCAGUCAGAGGCGAUGAAGGACGUGCUAAUCUGCGAUAAGCGUCGGUAAGGUGAUAUGAACCGUUAUAACCGGCGAUUUCCGAAUGGGGAAACCCAGUGUGUUUCGACACACUAUCAUUAACUGAAUCCAUAGGUUAAUGAGGCGAACCGGGGGAACUGAAACAUCUAAGUACCCCGAGGAAAAGAAAUCAACCGAGAUUCCCCCAGUAGCGGCGAGCGAACGGGGAGGAGCCCAGAGCCUGAAUCAGUGUGUGUGUUAGUGGAAGCGUCUGGAAAGGCGCGCGAUACAGGGUGACAGCCCCGUACACAAAAAUGCACAUACUGUGAGCUCGAUGAGUAGGGCGGGACACGUGGUAUCCUGUCUGAAUAUGGGGGGACCAUCCUCCAAGGCUAAAUACUCCUGACUGACCGAUAGUGAACCAGUACCGUGAGGGAAAGGCGAAAAGAACCCCGGCGAGGGGAGUGAAAAAGAACCUGAAACCGUGUACGUACAAGCAGUGGGAGCACGCUUCGGCGUGUGACUGCGUACCUUUUGUAUAAUGGGUCAGCGACUUAUAUUCUGUAGCAAGGUUAACCGAAUAGGGGAGCCGAAGGGAAACCGAGUCUUAACUGGGCGUUAAGUUGCAGGGUAUAGACCCGAAACCCGGUGAUCUAGCCAUGGGCAGGUUGAAGGUUGGGUAACACUAACUGGAGGACCGAACCGACUAAUGUUGAAAAAUUAGCGGAUGACUUGUGGCUGGGGGUGAAAGGCCAAUCAAACCGGGAGAUAGCUGGUUCUCCCCGAAAGCUAUUUAGGUAGCGCCUCGUGAAUUCAUCUCCGGGGGUAGAGCACUGUUUCGGCAAGGGGGUCAUCCCGACUUACCAACCCGAUGCAAACUGCGAAUACCGGAGAAUGUUAUUACGGGAGACACACGGCGGGUGCUAACGUCCGUCGUGAAGAGGGAAACAACCCAGACCGCCAGCUAAGGUCCCAAAGUCAUGGUUAAGUGGGAAACGAUGUGGGAAGGCCCAGACAGCCAGGAUGUUGGCUUAGAAGCAGCCAUCAUUUAAAGAAAGCGUAAUAGCUCACUGGUCGAGUCGGCCUGCGCGGAAGAUGUAACGGGGCUAAACCAUGCACCGAAGCUGCGGCAGCGACACUAUGUGUUGUUGGGUAGGGGAGCGUUCUGUAAGCCUGUGAAGGUGUGCUGUGAGGCAUGCUGGAGGUAUCAGAAGUGCGAAUGCUGACAUAAGUAACGAUAAAGCGGGUGAAAAGCCCGCUCGCCGGAAGACCAAGGGUUCCUGUCCAACGUUAAUCGGGGCAGGGUGAGUCGACCCCUAAGGCGAGGCCGAAAGGCGUAGUCGAUGGGAAACAGGUUAAUAUUCCUGUACUUGGUGUUACUGCGAAGGGGGGACGGAGAAGGCUAUGUUGGCCGGGCGACGGUUGUCCCGGUUUAAGCGUGUAGGCUGGUUUUCCAGGCAAAUCCGGAAAACUAAGGCUGAGGCGUGAUGACGAGGCACUACGGUGCUGAAGCAACAAAUGCCCUGCUUCCAGGAAAAGCCUCUAAGCAUCAGGUAACAUCAAAUCGUACCCCAAACCGACACAGGUGGUCAGGUAGAGAAUACCAAGGCGCUUGAGAGAACUCGGGUGAAGGAACUAGGCAAAAUGGUGCCGUAACUUCGGGAGAAGGCACGCUGAUAUGUAGGUGAAGCGACUUGCUCGUGGAGCUGAAAUCAGUCGAAGAUACCAGCUGGCUGCAACUGUUUAUUAAAAACACAGCACUGUGCAAACACGAAAGUGGACGUAUACGGUGUGACGCCUGCCCGGUGCCGGAAGGUUAAUUGAUGGGGUUAGCGGUAACGCGAAGCUCUUGAUCGAAGCCCCGGUAAACGGCGGCCGUAACUAUAACGGUCCUAAGGUAGCGAAAUUCCUUGUCGGGUAAGUUCCGACCUGCACGAAUGGCGUAAUGAUGGCCAGGCUGUCUCCACCCGAGACUCAGUGAAAUUGAACUCGCUGUGAAGAUGCAGUGUACCCGCGGCAAGACGGAAAGACCCCGUGAACCUUUACUAUAGCUUGACACUGAACAUUGAGCCUUGAUGUGUAGGAUAGGUGGGAGGCUUUGAAGUGUGGACGCCAGUCUGCAUGGAGCCGACCUUGAAAUACCACCCUUUAAUGUUUGAUGUUCUAACGUUGGCCCCUGAUCGGGGUUGCGGACAGUGUCUGGUGGGUAGUUUGACUGGGGCGGUCUCCUCCUAAAGAGUAACGGAGGAGCACGAAGGUUGGCUAAUCCUGGUCGGACAUCAGGAGGUUAGUGCAAUGGCAUAAGCCAGCUUGACUGCGAGCGUGACGGCGCGAGCAGGUGCGAAAGCAGGUCAUAGUGAUCCGGUGGUUCUGAAUGGAAGGGCCAUCGCUCAACGGAUAAAAGGUACUCCGGGGAUAACAGGCUGAUACCGCCCAAGAGUUCAUAUCGACGGCGGUGUUUGGCACCUCGAUGUCGGCUCAUCACAUCCUGGGGCUGAAGUAGGUCCCAAGGGUAUGGCUGUUCGCCAUUUAAAGUGGUACGCGAGCUGGGUUUAGAACGUCGUGAGACAGUUCGGUCCCUAUCUGCCGUGGGCGCUGGAGAACUGAGGGGGGCUGCUCCUAGUACGAGAGGACCGGAGUGGACGCAUCACUGGUGUUCGGGUUGUCAUGCCAAUGGCACUGCCCGGUAGCUAAAUGCGGAAGAGAUAAGUGCUGAAAGCAUCUAAGCACGAAACUUGCCCCGAGAUGAGUUCUCCCUGACUCCCUGAGAGUCCUGAAGGAACGUUGAAGACGACGACGUUGAUAGGCCGGGUGUGUAAGCGCAGCGAUGCGUUGAGCUAACCGGUACUAAUGAACCGUGAGGCUUAACCUU